AUGGAACCUAUUCAUCCACACUCCUUCAACAGUAUCGAAUACACUCCCACUGUAAACCUCGUCUUCUCCACCAACCCCUCUUCCGUUCUCUACCGCUCACAACACAAACCCUCGAAUUCGAGAUUCAAUGGAGAAAGCUUCGAAGCAACAAGCUUCUUCCGACGAAGAAUUCUCCAACUCGCCGAGCUCAUCAGAGGAAGAGCAAGUGAAUCAAUAGAUCAACGAAGAAGAAGAUUAAGAAGAGCGGGAAGUUGUAGCUCGUGUGGCUAG
This is a non-coding RNA of Vicia faba (fava bean), 270 nucleotides long. NCBI's taxonomy places the organism in Eukaryota, Viridiplantae, Streptophyta, Magnoliopsida, Fabales, Fabaceae. The record is from the annotation of a GenBank genome assembly.